GGGCAAGUGGUGGAAUGGUUUACACGUAGCACUCAAAAUGCUAUGAGCGCAAGCUCAUGUGGGUUCGACUCCCACCUUGCCCACAA
This 86-nucleotide transfer RNA is filed under the name Candidatus Berkelbacteria bacterium RIFCSPHIGHO2_01_FULL_50_36. RNAcentral describes it as "tRNA-Leu". It matches the Rfam family "tRNA". Rfam says of the family: Transfer RNA (tRNA) molecules are approximately 80 nucleotides in length. RNAcentral also lists the same sequence under 2 other names. The record is from RNAcentral. Lineage: Bacteria; Candidatus Berkelbacteria.